UAUUGCACAAUGGGGGAAACCCUGAUGCAGCGACGCCGCGUGGGCGAAGAAGUAUUUCGGUAUGUAAAGCCCUAUCAGCAGGGAAGAAGAAAUGACGGUACCUGAGUAAGAAGCACCGGCUAAAUACGUGCCAGCAGCCGCGGUAAUACGUAGGGGGCAAGCGUUAUCCGGAUUUACUGGGUGUAAAGGGGGCGCAGACGGCAGCGCAAGCCAGGAGUGAAAGCCCGGGGCCCAACCCCGGGACUGCUCUUGGAACUGCGCGGCUGGAGUGCAGGAGGGGCAGGCGGAAUUCCUGGUGUAGCGGUGAAAUGCGUAGAUAUAUGGAAGAACACCAGUGGCGAAAGCGGCUCUCUGGUCUGUAACUGACGCUGAGGUUCGAAAGCGUGGGUAGCAAACAGG
This 399-nucleotide ribosomal RNA is filed under the name uncultured bacterium. RNAcentral's name for it is "bacterial SSU rRNA". It matches the Rfam family "Bacterial small subunit ribosomal RNA", at positions 362 to 776 of the family's 1533-position model. The record is from RNAcentral.